Gossypium hirsutum (cotton) is the source of this 107-nucleotide non-coding RNA. The record is from Rfam. Lineage: Eukaryota; Viridiplantae; Streptophyta; Magnoliopsida; Malvales; Malvaceae.
AACCUAUGGUGGGGGAACCUUCUUAGUAAGUCCUUAUACGUCUCCCAUGCAUGAUAUAAGGUUUCUAAGUCCAUUUGUACAAAGGAGGAGAUACCAUUCCUCAGAUU